RNAcentral lists this ribosomal RNA (119 nucleotides) under Helianthus annuus (common sunflower). The record is from RNAcentral. Lineage: Eukaryota; Viridiplantae; Streptophyta; Magnoliopsida; Asterales; Asteraceae.
GGUUGCGAUCAUACCAGCACUAAUGCACCGGAUCCCAUCAGAACUCCGCAGUUAAGCGAGCUUGGGCGAGAGUAGUACUAGGAUGGGUGACCCCCUGGGAAGUCCUCGUGAUGCAACAC